UAACCUACCCAUCAGAGGGGGAUAACACUUGGAAACAGGUGCUAAUACCGCAUAACAGUUUAUGCCGCAUGGCAUAAGAGUGAAAGGCGCUUUCGGGUGUCGCUGAUGGAUGGACCCGCGGUGCAUUAGCUAGUUGGUGAGGUAACGGCUCACCAAGGCCACGAUGCAUAGCCGACCUGAGAGGGUGAUCGGCCACACUGGAACUGAGACACGGUCCAG
RNAcentral lists this ribosomal RNA (219 nucleotides) under uncultured bacterium. RNAcentral's name for it is "partial 16S ribosomal RNA". It matches the Rfam family "Bacterial small subunit ribosomal RNA", at positions 122 to 334 of the family's 1533-position model. The record is from RNAcentral.